Long non-coding RNA from Musa acuminata AAA Group (dessert banana), 640 nucleotides. RefSeq lists it as uncharacterized. The transcript is spliced from 4 exons. The record is from RefSeq and is a predicted model, not a curated record. Lineage: Eukaryota; Viridiplantae; Streptophyta; Magnoliopsida; Zingiberales; Musaceae.
GUCGGCCGUAAGAGGUAACUCAAGUCCGUCUUAAGCCCUAACGUUGUCGAGAAGUAUCGCCGGACCGUGCAGGCGACUUCGAACGGCGGCAGCGAAGACAGACGAGAACACGUUUUGAGUCGACAUUUCUAAACGUGGAUUGUUGGAUUGACUGUUGGUAAAUGGGAGUUCGCAAAACUCGCGGAAAUGAAGAGUUUUUUUGCUUGUAAAACGAUAAAAAAGGCAAAUUUUUUGAACUUGAACUGAACGAAUGAGCGGUCGACGUUGCAAGGUACUUCCUGAGUUCGGUCCUGCAGAAAGAUGGUGGAGCUUGUUUUUGAAGACAUUUUCACUUUGACCAGACUGGAUCCAGAUAGUAAAAAGUUUGAUAAAGGGAAAUCUAUGCUUCUUUUGGUGGACUACCGAUGAUGCUGAAGGGGUAUCCUCCUGCAGCUCAGUUCGAGUUGGACCAAAGGCUUUUUCUUUUGAUGAGAAAAGUGUAAAUCGUACUGUCUAACUACACUGAACCGAAUGAGACUUAUUUGUUGAGAUUACAACUGGAGACUUUGUUGGUCUGUGCUAUUGCCUUUUGAAUAGCUAAAAUACUUUUGACCUCGACAUGAAACUUAUUAUGAAUGAAGAUCUUCUGGGAAGUUGGUUC